Molecule: unclassified non-coding RNA, 247 nt
Filed under: fungal sp.
Lineage: Eukaryota; Fungi
Description: partial internal transcribed spacer region
Rfam family: Eukaryotic small subunit ribosomal RNA (bases 1-46)
Source: RNAcentral
AAGUCGUAACAAGGUUUCCGUAGGUGAACCUGCGGAAGGAUCAUUAACACGUAUCCAAACGUUAAAACCCCCCUGUGAACCUUCACCACUUCUUAAGCCCUCCCGGGGGUAGAGCAGGCAAUCCCUAGUAAAUCAUUGUCUUAACAGGUUUUGAGUUAGGGACGUCCCCCACUACAAGCGGACGCGCCGAAAGGUUGUAUCCACCCCUAAAACCGAACAACUGUUAACAAUGGAUAUCUUGGUUCUC